RNAcentral lists this ribosomal RNA (253 nucleotides) under uncultured archaeon. Its description in RNAcentral is "partial 16S ribosomal RNA". It matches the Rfam family "Archaeal small subunit ribosomal RNA", at positions 474 to 726 of the family's 1478-position model. The record is from RNAcentral.
CCCCAGCGCCACAAGUGGUGGUCCGCAUUAUUUGGCCUAAAGCGUCCGUAGCUGGUUUAGUAAAUCUCUUGUGAAAUCGUUCUGCUUAACAGGGCGGCGUGCAGGAGACACUGCUUGACUAGGGAUUGGGAGGAGUUAGGGGUAUGCUGUAGGGAGCGGUAAAAUGCUAUAAUCUACAGUAGACCACCUGUGGCGAAGGCGCCUAACUAGAACAAGUCCGACAGUGAGGGACGAAAGCCAGGGGAGCAAACCG